Cricetulus griseus (Chinese hamster) is the source of this 988-nucleotide non-coding RNA. The record is from RefSeq and is a predicted model, not a curated record. Lineage: Eukaryota; Metazoa; Chordata; Mammalia; Rodentia; Cricetidae.
CCUGGCCUCUCUUUCCACUUUGGAUCUAUCUAUAGCUGCUUUUUUACAAACCUAACAAGAUUGGAGAACCAGUUGUCUUUCUAGUGAUUAGAAGUGGUGACUGUGGUGUGUUACAUUGCAUGCACUGGCUUAUCGGACUGGAUACGUGAAUCUUCACAAUUCCAAGUGGGACAGAAAAGUCUGCUUCUCCUGCUGGAGACAAUGCUAAGGCUAAUCACCUUUAUGCCUGGGAAAGCCCGCACUCAUUGAUUUAUGAAGGACAGCUUUGCUUUGCUCAGAAUGGCAUUCUUAGUUGGCUGUGUGUUUAAAAUCUGAGCUUCGAAUGCGUCAUUUCACAACAUCCUGACUCACCAGCUUUCUGCCGAGAAGUCUGCUAAGCAUCUGCCCACAUUCUCAGAGAUAUGCCAUUCACAGUAUGCUGAACCUUUCUGCUCAAUCAUUAAUCAAGAUAAUGUCCUGCAAACAUAGCCACAGGCCAAUCAGAGAUGAGGAUUCACUCAACCACUUCUCCAGUGUAAUGUGUGCUGCCAUGCUCCCCACCAUGAUGACAAUGGGCUUACUCCGAAACUCAAAAUACGAGUCCUCCCAAAGAAAGGAGUCAGAUUGUCUCCGUGACAUGAGCACAGAGGUGGAGUGUGUCCAGGGUUUGUUUAGUUUGGAAUUUUAAAGCUCCAUCAAGAAUGCAGGAGGCCUUUUUCUUCUCACUUAUGUUGACAGACUGUUGAUGGCCUUUCACACUAACUUGGUUGGAAGAAGAAGAAGAUGAAGAAAAAAGAAACUUCAGAUGAUCCUAUUUGUGUAAGAAAAAAAAAAAAAAAGUCUUCCAAACAACUCCCUUGUCGCCAGCAUCAACAGCAGCUGAACACGGGCUGAGUUGUUGCACAGUGAGAAUUAUUCCUUUCAUUUCAAAGGCAUCAGAUGUUUGGGGCAAGCAAAAGUCCUGGCUGGUUAAACACGAUCAAAAAUAAACUAGUAUCACAUUUGCUUA